AGAGUUUGAUCAUGGCUCAGGAUGAACGCUAGCGGCAGGCCUAACACAUGCAAGUCGGACGGUAAAUGGUGUAGCAAUACACUAUGAGAGUGGCAAACGGGUGAGUAACGCGUAUGCAACCUACCCUUAACUGGGGGAUAGCUCGGAGAAAUUCGGAUUAAUACCUCAUGUUAUUAUAGGAUGGCAUCAUUUUAUAAUAAAAGAUUUAUUGGUUAAGGAUGGGCAUGCGUGCCAUUAGCUAGUUGGUAGGGUAACGGCCUACCAAGGCGACGAUGGCUAGGGGGUCUGAGAGGAUGGUCCCCCACACUGGUACUGAGACACGGACCAGACUCCUACGGGAGGCAGCAGUGAGGAAUAUUGGUCAAUGGACGCAAGUCUGAACCAGCCAUGCCGCGUGAAGGAAGAAGGCCCUAAGGGUUGUAAACUUCUUUUGUACGGGGGUAAUUUUCGGGUCGUGACCUGGAUUGAAGGUACUGUACGAAUAAGCGUCGGCUAACUACGUGCCAGCAGCCGCGGUAAUACGUAGGACGCAAGCGUUAUCCGGAUUCAUUGGGUUUAAAGGGUGCGUAGGCGGGCCUUUAAGUCAGUGUGAAAGUUUGCCGCUUAACGGUAAGAUUGCCAUUGAUACUGGAGGCCUUGAGUGCAGAUGAGGUAGGCGGAAUGUGUAGUGUAGUGGUGAAAUACUUAGAUAUUACACAGAACACCGAUUGCGAAAGGCAGCUUACUAAAUUGCAACUGACGCUGAGGCACGAAUGCGUGGGGAUCAAACAGGAUUAGAUACCCUGGUAGUCCACGCCGUAAACGAUGAUAACUGGGUUGUUGGCGAUACAUUGUCAGCGACUGAGCGAAAGCAUUAAGUUAUCCACCUGGGGAGUACGUCGCACGAUGAAACUCAAAGGAAUUGACGG
Molecule: ribosomal RNA, 908 nt
Filed under: uncultured bacterium
Lineage: Bacteria
Description: bacterial SSU rRNA
Rfam family: Bacterial small subunit ribosomal RNA
Source: RNAcentral